Molecule: ribosomal RNA, 700 nt
Filed under: Acinetobacter baumannii
Lineage: Bacteria; Pseudomonadati; Pseudomonadota; Gammaproteobacteria; Moraxellales; Moraxellaceae
Description: bacterial SSU rRNA
Rfam family: Bacterial small subunit ribosomal RNA
Source: RNAcentral
GCGUGUGUGAAGAAGGCCUUAUGGUUGUAAAGCACUUUAAGCGAGGAGGAGGCUACUUUAGUUAAUACCUAGAGAUAGUGGACGUUACUCGCAGAAUAAGCACCGGCUAACUCUGUGCCAGCAGCCGCGGUAAUACAGAGGGUGCGAGCGUUAAUCGGAUUUACUGGGCGUAAAGCGUGCGUAGGCGGCUUAUUAAGUCGGAUGUGAAAUCCCCGAGCUUAACUUGGGAAUUGCAUUCGAUACUGGUGAGCUAGAGUAUGGGAGAGGAUGGUAGAAUUCCAGGUGUAGCGGUGAAAUGCGUAGAGAUCUGGAGGAAUACCGAUGGCGAAGGCAGCCAUCUGGCCUAAUACUGACGCUGAGGUACGAAAGCAUGGGGAGCAAACAGGAUUAGAUACCCUGGUAGUCCAUGCCGUAAACGAUGUCUACUAGCCGUUGGGGCCUUUGAGGCUUUAGUGGCGCAGCUAACGCGAUAAGUAGACCGCCUGGGGAGUACGGUCGCAAGACUAAAACUCAAAUGAAUUGACGGGGGCCCGCACAAGCGGUGGAGCAUGUGGUUUAAUUCGAUGCAACGCGAAGAACCUUACCUGGCCUUGACAUACUAGAAACUUUCCAGAGAUGGAUUGGUGCCUUCGGGAAUCUAGAUACAGGUGCUGCAUGGCUGUCGUCAGCUCGUGUCGUGAGAUGUUGGGUUAAGUCCCGC